GAAGGCUAAGACAGCCGGAUGUUGGUUACCGGUUUAAGCUAUCGAGGUUAUGAGAGACGGCGAAAACGUCUUGAGCUGAGAAGCGAGUACGACCCGUUACGACGGGGAAGUGUCUGAUGUCAGGCUUCCAAGAAAAGCCCGAACCACGUUAAUUCAAAUUGGCCCGUACCCUAAACCGACACAGGUGGGAAGGUAGAGUAUACCCAGGGGCGCGAGAUAACUCUCUCUAAGGAACUCGGCAAAAUGGCCCCGUAACUUCGGGAGAAGGGGUGCCAGCGAGAGCUGGCCGCAGUGAAGAGUCCCAGGCGACUGUUUACCAAAAACACAGGUCUCCGCUAAGUCGCAAGACGAUGUAUGGGGGCUGACGCCUGCCCAGUGCCGGAAGGUUAAGGAAGUUGGUCAGGCUCUUCGGAGUUGAAGCUAGCGACUGAAGCCCCGGUGAACGGCGGCCGUAACUAUAACGGUCCUAAGGUAGCGAAAUUCCUUGUCGGGUAAGUUCCGACCCGCACGGUCGACGCGGCCG
RNAcentral lists this ribosomal RNA (523 nucleotides) under uncultured Leptolyngbya sp. RNAcentral's name for it is "bacterial LSU rRNA". It matches the Rfam family "Bacterial large subunit ribosomal RNA", at positions 1477 to 2010 of the family's 2925-position model. The record is from RNAcentral. Lineage: Bacteria; Bacillati; Cyanobacteriota; Cyanophyceae; Leptolyngbyales; Leptolyngbyaceae.